GAAAGUUUAGUUUAUUUUAAAACAAAUGUUUUGAAAGCAUUUAUAGGGGAGCUCCCCAAUUUUUA
This 65-nucleotide transfer RNA is filed under the name Pontastacus leptodactylus (narrow-clawed crayfish). Its description in RNAcentral is "Astacus leptodactylus (narrow-clawed crayfish) tRNA-Ser". The record is from RNAcentral. Lineage: Eukaryota; Metazoa; Arthropoda; Malacostraca; Decapoda; Astacidae.